RNAcentral lists this ribosomal RNA (403 nucleotides) under uncultured bacterium. RNAcentral describes it as "partial 16S ribosomal RNA". It matches the Rfam family "Bacterial small subunit ribosomal RNA", at positions 30 to 526 of the family's 1533-position model. The record is from RNAcentral.
AUUGAACGCUGGCGGCAGGCCUAACACAUGCAAGUCGAGCGAGCGGCGGACGGGUGAGUAAUGUAUGGGGACUGCCCGAUAGAGGGGGAUAACUACUGGAAACGGUGGCUAAUACCGCAUACUAUCGGAUAACCCAUAUGGGAUUAGCUAGUAGGUGGGGUAAAGGCUCACCUAGGCGACGAUCUCUAGCUGGUCUGAGAGGAUAGUCAUCCCCACUGGGACUGAGACAAGGCCAAGACUCCUCCUGAACCACCAUUUAUUAAUAUUGCACAAUUGGCGAAAGCCUGAUACAGCCAUGCCGCGUGUAUGAAGAAUACCUUAGGGUUUUAAAGUACUUGCAGCGGGGAGGCGUUACCCGCAGAAGAAGCAACGGCUAACUCCGUGCCAGCAGCCGCGGUAAUUC